This 251-nucleotide ribosomal RNA is filed under the name uncultured prokaryote. RNAcentral's name for it is "partial 16S rRNA". It matches the Rfam family "Bacterial small subunit ribosomal RNA", at positions 525 to 775 of the family's 1533-position model. The record is from RNAcentral.
ACGUAUGAGGCGAGCGUUGUUCGGAAUUAUUGGGCGUAAAGGGCAUCUAGGCGGGAUGUUAAGUUAGAUGUGAAAUCUCAGGGCUCAACCCUGAAACUGCAUUUAAAACUGGCAUUCUUGAGUUCGGAAGGGGAGAGCGGAAUUCCCGGUGUAGCGGUGAAAUGCGUAGAUAUCGGGAAGAACACCAGUGGCGAAGGCGGCUCUCUGGUCUAGAACUGACGCUGAAGUGCGAAAGCGUGGGGAGCGAACAG